CAUGAUUAUUUAUUCAAAGUUAAAAGAAAAGAGACGGGUCUUCAAGGGAUCACAACUAACUGAACAUGUUGCCCAAAAUAUGUUGUCAUUUUCUCAUUAACAGCUGCUGUUUGUGAUAAAAACUUAUGAUUACUUGAAAAAAAUGUGUAUCUUUUGUUUUUCACCUGUGAGGGUUUCCAUUUUGUCAUUAGCAUGGUGGCUUAAUGACGCAGUCAGGAACCCUCUGGACAGAGUAGGCCACCUUUAACAGUCAUUUAUUUAUUAUAUCAUGUUUGACUGAUGUAAAUUUAGACAAUGCCGCACUACGUCACUGUUGGCGGUAAUUUAAAAACAACAGCAAAACAAACAGAAAUAGUGAGUUGAGUCUGCAUCGCUUCCCACAAGAAAAAAAGAGCGCAAUGGGAUAGAGCAGUUGGAAGAGCACAGCUUCUGGAGGACCCACAUCUGUGCUCUCAACAUUUCUCUCCAGAAGACUUUGAGUCAUUUGUAGGAGCAGAUUGAUGAAGGAGCUAAUUGGUGGUUGUUCCCAUCACAAGCUGAAACCAAAUGCCUGCCGAAAAUGUAUCCAAAAAACCUAAACCUGACACCAGACCGGACACAGAGCCACAGAACCACUUACCGGAUCACACAGUCCGACCAGAGGUAGGUGUCAUUCAUUGUUCCAUUUAUGAAGCUAGCAGCCGCACAACUGGCUUCGGCUAACUCUGUCCUCUUCCUCCGUUUGCUCCUCCUCAUCUUCAUUGUGAUUUCUACGUUCCCAUUGAUUUCAACGAGCUCCGGUUCAAAUGGCAAAGGCUUAAUAACGGUACCCAUCUGUCUUACCGUAUUUGGCUGUGAUGAAUGACGUGCUCAGUCGUCAUUUACCCAGAAUGCAUUGCAGCGUAAACAACAUGGCCACAGUUGUGUGACAAUAUUUUGUUUAAUUUUUUUUUUUUUAAAACAACUACUCAGCAGCCACUAUUUUUACUGUAUUUUUUUUCUAAUAAAUAUUUAUGAAUUAAAGUUUGCUGCAACUAAUCAUGGAUCCUUUCUGAAGGCAUUAAAAGCAGAAAUGAUGGAGCCUGUCUAACAUCCAGAGGAAAGUCGAUCGUGUUUGGCCGUUUGGAGACGUGCAGCAGCUUUCAGAUGUAUGAAUCCCUGACUCCUUCAUGGAGGAUACGACAGUUAUCCAGCCAAGUGCUUAUUUUCCUCCACAUCUGGAUGGAGGCCAUAAAAAUAAAUCGCCUUCCAAAACAAUCCAAUUAAAUAAAAAACGGGCACACUUCCAGCAAA
Poecilia latipinna (sailfin molly) is the source of this 1272-nucleotide long non-coding RNA. RefSeq lists it as uncharacterized. The transcript has 2 exons. The record is from RefSeq and is a predicted model, not a curated record. NCBI's taxonomy places the organism in Eukaryota, Metazoa, Chordata, Actinopteri, Cyprinodontiformes, Poeciliidae.